This is a non-coding RNA of Macaca mulatta (Rhesus monkey), 389 nucleotides long. The record is from RefSeq and is a predicted model, not a curated record. Lineage: Eukaryota; Metazoa; Chordata; Mammalia; Primates; Cercopithecidae.
UCUCAAUUAUUUUUUAAAGGUAUUAUUUUUUUCCUUCUGUUUUCAAAUCAUUUCUGACAGUUUCUAAAGACAUGGUCACAGCUGCCUGAAGCAUGUCUUCUUCACCCAUAGCAUCACCUGUUGGGAAACAAAACCACAUUUCUUUAAAAUUUCCAGAAAAUUCUCAAAGUCAUCAAAAGUUACAGAGCUGAAGUUCUCUUCAUGGAACUCUACAGAUAAUGUACACGCAGCGUAAUGCAAUGAGCAGAACUGUCCCAAACAACCCUGGAGCUCACUCCUGGACAAGCCAGCAAGAGGGACUGCACCCAAGCUCAGCUCCCAUGGGACGACAGGCUUCCUCCUUAUGGGAGGCACAGUGGCUCACGCCUGUAAUCACAGCACUUCGAGAG